RNAcentral lists this transfer RNA (82 nucleotides) under Minisyncoccota bacterium. RNAcentral's name for it is "tRNA-Leu". It matches the Rfam family "tRNA". Rfam says of the family: Transfer RNA (tRNA) molecules are approximately 80 nucleotides in length. Their secondary structure includes four short double-helical elements and three loops (D, anti-codon, and T loops). The record is from RNAcentral. Lineage: Bacteria; Bacillati; Minisyncoccota.
GCCCGGGUGGCGGAAUAGGUAUACGCGCUCGACUUAAAAUUGAGUGCCGCAAGGCAUGCGGGUUCGAUUCCCGCCCCGGGUA